Molecule: RNase P RNA, 362 nt
Filed under: Sulfuritalea sp.
Lineage: Bacteria; Pseudomonadati; Pseudomonadota; Betaproteobacteria; Nitrosomonadales; Sterolibacteriaceae
Description: RNase P RNA component class A
Rfam family: Bacterial RNase P class A
About the family: Ribonuclease P (RNase P) is a ubiquitous endoribonuclease, found in archaea, bacteria and eukarya as well as chloroplasts and mitochondria. Its best characterised activity is the generation of mature 5'-ends of tRNAs by cleaving the 5'-leader elements of precursor-tRNAs.
Source: RNAcentral
GAAGUUCGCCAGGCAACCGCUGAUCGCGCAAUCGAUUGGAGGAAAGUCCGGGCUCCACAGGGCGGGAUGCCGGCUAACGGCCGGGCGCAGCAAGUCGAAAGACCCAAGGCGACGGAAAGUGCAACAGAAAGAUACCGCCGAUGGCCGCAAGGCACAGGCAAGGGUGAAAUGGCGAGGUAAGAGCUCACCGCGGACGUGGCAACACGGACGGCAUGGCAAACCCCAUCCGGAGCAAGGCCAAAUAGGGGAGCAUUGGCGCGGCCCGCGUCGCUCCCGGGUAGGCUGCUAGAGGCCGUCGGUAACGGCGGUCCCAGAGGAAUGGUUGCCCACGACAGAACCCGGCUUAUCGGCGGACUUCCCAC